AUCCCGCGUAAGGGAUUGCAGUGGAAAUCCCGGACCCGCCGCGGCGGGGAGGAAUUGCAACGGAAAGCCCGACCUGAA
RNAcentral lists this unclassified non-coding RNA (78 nucleotides) under Kaistella treverensis. RNAcentral's name for it is "Chryseobacterium treverense Flavo-1 RNA". Lineage: Bacteria; Pseudomonadati; Bacteroidota; Flavobacteriia; Flavobacteriales; Weeksellaceae. The record is from RNAcentral.